UGCAAGUCGAGCGGACAGAUGGGAGCUUGCUCCCUGAUGUUAGCGGCGGACGGGUGAGUAACACGUGGGUAACCUGCCUGUAAGACUGGGAUAACUCCGGGAAACCGGGGCUAAUACCGGAUGGUUGUUUGAACCGCAUGGUUCAAACAUAAAAGGUGGCUUCGGCUACCACUUACAGAUGGACCCGCGGCGCAUUAGCUAGUUGGUGAGGUAACGGCUCACCAAGGCAACGAUGCGUAGCCGACCUGAGAGGGUGAUCGGCCACACUGGGACUGAGACACGGCCCAGACUCCUACGGGAGGCAGCAGUAGGGAAUCUUCCGCAAUGGACGAAAGUCUGACGGAGCAACGCCGCGUGAGUGAUGAAGGUUUUCGGAUCGUAAAGCUCUGUUGUUAGGGAAGAACAAGUACCGUUCGAAUAGGGCGGUACCUUGACGGUACCUAACCAGAAAGCCACGGCUAACUACGUGCCAGCAGCCGCGGUAAUACGUA
RNAcentral lists this ribosomal RNA (491 nucleotides) under Bacillus mojavensis. RNAcentral's name for it is "bacterial SSU rRNA". It matches the Rfam family "Bacterial small subunit ribosomal RNA", at positions 56 to 529 of the family's 1533-position model. Lineage: Bacteria; Bacillati; Bacillota; Bacilli; Caryophanales; Bacillaceae. The record is from RNAcentral.